Molecule: ribosomal RNA, 377 nt
Filed under: uncultured bacterium
Lineage: Bacteria
Description: bacterial SSU rRNA
Rfam family: Bacterial small subunit ribosomal RNA
Source: RNAcentral
UAAUACGUAGGGGGCAAGCGUUGUCCGGAAUCAUUGGGCGUAAAGAGCGUGUAGGCGGUCCGAUUAGUCGGCUGUGAAAGUCCAGGGCUCAACCCUGGGAUGCCGGUCGAUACUGUCGGACUAGAGUCCGGAAGAGGCAAGUGGAAUUCCCGGUGUAGCGGUGAAAUGCGCAGAUAUCGGGAGGAACACCAAUGGCGAAGGCAGCUUGCUGGGACGGUACUGACGCUGAGACGCGAAAGCGUGGGGAGCAAACAGGAUUAGAUACCCUGGUAGUCCACGCCGUAAACGAUGGGCACUAGGUGUGGGAGGUGUCGACUCCUCCCGUGCCGGAGCUAACGCAUUAAGCAUUCCGCCUGGGGAGUACGGUCGCAAGGCUG